This 253-nucleotide ribosomal RNA is filed under the name uncultured bacterium. Its description in RNAcentral is "partial 16S ribosomal RNA". It matches the Rfam family "Bacterial small subunit ribosomal RNA", at positions 524 to 776 of the family's 1533-position model. The record is from RNAcentral.
UACAGAGGUGGCAAGCGUUGUUCGGAAUUACUGGGCGUAAAGGGCGCGUAGGCGGUCUUGUAAGUCUUGUGUGAAAUCCCUCGGCUUAACUGAGGAACUGCACGGGCUACUGCAUGACUUGAGAUCGGGAGAGGGAAGCGGAAUUCCGGGUGUAGCGGUGAAAUGCGUAGAUAUCCGGAGGAACACCGGUGGCGAAGGCGGCUUCCUGGACCGACACUGACGCUGAGGCGCGAAAGCUAGGGGAGCAAACGGG